Molecule: ribosomal RNA, 405 nt
Filed under: uncultured bacterium
Lineage: Bacteria
Description: partial 16S ribosomal RNA
Rfam family: Bacterial small subunit ribosomal RNA
Source: RNAcentral
AUUGAACGCUAGCGGGAGGCUUUACACAUGCAAGUCGAACGAGUGGCGGACGGGUGAGUAAUAUAUCGGAACGUGCCCAGUAGCGGGGGAUAACUACUGGAAACAGUGGCUAAUACCGCAUACCAUCGGAGCGGCAGAUAUCGGAUUAGCUAGUAGGUGGGGUAAAGGCUCACCAAGGCAACGAUCCGUAGCUGGUUUGAGAGGAGGACCAGCCACACUGGGACUGAGACACGGCCCAGACUCCUACGGGAGGCAGCAGUGGGGAAGUUUGGACAAUGGGGGAAACCCUGAUCCAGCCAUCCCGCGUGUAUGAGAAGGCCUUCGGGUUGUAAAGUACUUUUGGCAGAGAAGCGGUAUCUGCAGAAGAAGCACCGGCUAACUACGUGCCAGCCGCCGCGGUAAUAC